Molecule: long non-coding RNA, 1067 nt
Organism: Homo sapiens (human)
Lineage: Eukaryota; Metazoa; Chordata; Mammalia; Primates; Hominidae
Source: Ensembl
ACAGAGAGGGGCCCCCAUAGCGCAGUGGCGGGCUGAAGGGCUCCUUGAGCAUGGCCAGAGUGGACGCCAAGGCUGAGGAGGCGCCGAGAGCCAGUGAGGGCUGCUAGCAUGUUGUCACCUCUCAAUACAUAAAACUACUGGAGGGUGGUUCCAAGAUGGCCAAAUAGGAACAGCUCCAGUCUACAGCUCCCAGCAUGAGUGAUGCAGAAGACGAAUGAUUUCUGCAUUUCCAACUCAGAUCUUCAACUCCAGAGAACUGAGUUUAAGGAGCUGUACCUGGGAAAUUGUGCCUGAAGCUGUUCCUGAGGAAUCUGCACCUGGAUCUAAUGUACAUGCUGAGAUCCUGGAUUUGAGCUGAUGCCAUAGUGGGAUGAGACUUUGCCGUCUUGGGUGUGGGAUGAAUAUAUUUUGCACUGGGAAGGAUGUGAAGUAUUGUGGUUAAAAGGUGGACUGUAGUUCAUUGCAUUUUUCAACAAUGGCCACAACAGCAUCUCUUAUCCUAUGUGCUCUUCUUCCAAUGUGACUGUGUCCUCUCUCAUUAAGAUGCGGAGUCUAUUUCUCCACUCUCUCAAAUCUGGUGGACCCUGGGACUUCUACCAACAGAGUACAGUGGAAAUGAUGCUGGGCCACUUCCCGGUUUGGUCUUUAACUAGUCUGGCAGCUUCUCCUUUCUGCUUCUUGGAAGCCAGUAAGAAGUACAACUAUCCUGAGGCUUCUGCUGUGAGAAGCCCAAGCCAUGGGAGAGGCUCUGGAGAAUGAGACUUCACUGGGAGAGUGAAGAGAGGAGCGAAGAGAAAGAGAGAGGCACCAAGGAUCACUGAGUUGCCAGAACAUGAAUGCUAAGGCCAUAUUGGAAAUGGAUUCUCCUGCUUCAGCUGCCCCAGCUGAUGCCACCAGGAUCAGAGAUGAUCUGGCCAGCUGAGCCCUUCCUUAAUUCUAACCCAUAAAAUUGUGUGCGAAACAAAAUGGUUGUUUUCAACCACUAAGUUUUGGGGUAGGUUUUAUGCAGCAGCAGAUAAUGGAAAUACUGCUUGGUUUUGACUUUCAAAAAAAUCCAUUUGUUUUCA